AGGAUGAAUGCUGGCGGCGUGCCUAAUACAUGCAAGUCGAGCGGUAAGGCCCUUCGGGGUACACGAGCGGCGGACGGCUGAGUAACGCGUGGGAACAUGCCCCAAAGUGAGGGAUAAGCAUCGGAAACGGUGUCUAAUACCGCAUAUGGUCUUCGGAUUAAAGGAUUUAUCCGCUUUGGGAGUGGCCCGCGUACGAUUAGGUUGUUGGUGAGGUAAUAGCUCACCAAGCCUACGAUCGUUAACUGGUCUGAGAGGAUGAUCAGUCAGACUGGAACUGAGACACGGUCCAGACUCCUACGGGAGGCAGCAGUAAGGAAUCUUCCACAAUGGGCGAAAGCCUGAUGGAGCAACGCCGCGUGCAGGAUGAAGGCCUUCGGGUCGUAAACUGCUUUUAUGAGUGAAGAAUAUGACGGUAACUCAUGAAUAAGCACCGGCUAACUACGCGCCAGCAGCCGC
RNAcentral lists this ribosomal RNA (456 nucleotides) under uncultured bacterium. Its description in RNAcentral is "SSU rRNA". It matches the Rfam family "Bacterial small subunit ribosomal RNA", at positions 26 to 518 of the family's 1533-position model. The record is from RNAcentral.